Pezoporus occidentalis (night parrot) is the source of this 521-nucleotide long non-coding RNA. RefSeq lists it as uncharacterized. NCBI's taxonomy places the organism in Eukaryota, Metazoa, Chordata, Aves, Psittaciformes, Psittacidae. The transcript is spliced from 2 exons. The record is from RefSeq and is a predicted model, not a curated record.
UUAAUGCUGCCCCUGUGGAUGACUACUACUUCUAACUGCAAGCUGCUGACUUCUGUGCAAUGAAGAACAAGUGCUAAGCUUUAGAAGCAGAAGUACACCUCACUUCUCUCUUUAGCUGUAUGAAGGCUGAAGGGCUGAUGUGGAAUGGAGAGCCUGUCUGUGCAUUUGUAUCUACAGAGCAGUGAAUGCUGAGCUGUUCCACACACACGUGCAGCCGCCCCCUCUUCAUAUCUGAUGUCUCACCGGCAGCUAUGACUGACUGAGGGGAGCUGCUCCAUUUCCAAGGCUCUGGUAAUUGCAGAGAGUCUCUCCCUCAGCCUCCACUUGGUUUGCUGGUGGAUGAGGCUGAGGGAAAAGGCACGGGGCUGCCAUGGGAUGGGUCACCACCAGACAGCUCGCACCCAGCAGCCUUCUCUGAGAGCCCAGCUCCCUUCCAGCAGUAAAAGAUGACAAACUUAAUUACAAUAAGGUGACAUUUUUAUUAUUUAUACAAUAAAGAGACUUUUUAAUGUUAUUCAAAA